CGAAGCGAUUGUUGAGGAAAAGACAUGCAUUUUGAACUCGAUUUUGACGACAUUUUUUCUUUUUUGACAAAGCGCGGACGUAUUUAAAAUAGUGUUUUCUCCUCGUUGAGAUAGGUUGAGAUAAAUUUGAACACGCCAAACUAUAGACAUUUAACUUGGCUUUAUGGCUCAAGUAAAAUUGAACGGGGCUUUUUUCAUAAAACGGAGAUAUCUUGCAGCCUUUAUAGUUUUCCGUAACACUGUCACUGUAUAUCAUGUCAACGACUGCAGUCGCACGAAAAAAGAUUCACGCUGAAUAUUUUUGGAGUGUCGGCGGCAGUUAUACCAAUAAUAGAAAUCAAAUCAAUUAGUAAAAAACAUUUUACAAUGAACUUUCAAUGGUUCCGAGCAUGCCGGCUGGUUAACACAAAAACGGUUAUAUAUUUAAGUUUUCAAAUUGUCGAGCAAAUUGUAGUUGUUUUUAUCAAAUUGUAGUUGUUUUAAAUGCAUGCAUGGUCAAUUUUGGGCUAUACGAUUAUCGAAAAAUAGUAGCCAAGCAAUGUCGGAAUAUUCUUACUGUGAAAAUGUUUAUCCUACCUUCGCAUUAUGAAGUAAAAUAUCCCAUUUCAUACCAAAAUUUUCGUAUUUGGAAUAUGCCCACAUUCGAUCAGCUCGAUUCCUUUUCAAAUUUUUAUUUCGC
Non-coding RNA from Paramuricea clavata, 679 nucleotides. Lineage: Eukaryota; Metazoa; Cnidaria; Anthozoa; Malacalcyonacea; Plexauridae. The record is from the annotation of a GenBank genome assembly.